This 464-nucleotide ribosomal RNA is filed under the name Melanoplus bruneri (Bruner spur-throated grasshopper). RNAcentral describes it as "partial 16S ribosomal RNA". It matches the Rfam family "Archaeal large subunit ribosomal RNA", at positions 1939 to 2640 of the family's 2987-position model. Lineage: Eukaryota; Metazoa; Arthropoda; Insecta; Orthoptera; Acrididae. The record is from RNAcentral.
UUUUGAGGUCUGGCCUGCUCACUGACAAGUUUUAAAGAGCCGCGGUAUUUUGACCGUGCAAAGGUAGCAUAAUCAUUAGUCUCUUAAUUAGGGGCUGGAAUGAAUGGCUUGACGAGAAAUUAACUGUCUCUUAUUAAAUAAUAGAAUUUAACUUUUGAGUUAAAAGGCUUAAAUUUUUCUUAAAGACGAGAAGACCCUAUAGAGCUUGACAUUUUAUUUUAAUAUAAUUUUUAYAUAGUUUUUUUAUAUUUUAAGAUAAUGUUUUGUUGGGGUGACAUGAAGAAUAAAUAAACUCUUCAUUAUAAAAUCAUUGAUUUAUGUUUAUUUUGAUCCAUAAUUUAUGAUCAUAAGAUUAAGUUACCUUAGGGAUAACAGCGUAAUUGUUUUUGAGAGCUCAUAUUGACAAAGCAGAUUGCGACCUCGAUGUUGGAUUAAGAAUAAUUUUGGGUGCAGGAGCCCAGUAA